AGGGGUAUAGCUCAGUGGUAGAACACAUGGUUGGUGUGCAGGGGGUCCUGGGUUCAAUUUCCAGUACCCCCA
Molecule: transfer RNA, 72 nt
Filed under: Camelus bactrianus (Bactrian camel)
Lineage: Eukaryota; Metazoa; Chordata; Mammalia; Artiodactyla; Camelidae
Also listed under: 2 other names
Rfam family: tRNA
About the family: Transfer RNA (tRNA) molecules are approximately 80 nucleotides in length.
Source: Rfam by way of RNAcentral